AAACUUAACUUGUAUGAGGAAAUACCUCGAUCAGGAAGGUGGUUCCAUGGCAGUGUUAAGCUUUUGCACUCUGUAAGAAUGACCUAUGCCAUUUUUUCAAAUAUGAGAAACUGAAAUGCAGGAGC
This 125-nucleotide small nuclear RNA is filed under the name Microcebus murinus (gray mouse lemur). RNAcentral describes it as "U1 spliceosomal RNA (ENSMICG00000025428.3)". The record is from RNAcentral. Lineage: Eukaryota; Metazoa; Chordata; Mammalia; Primates; Cheirogaleidae.